RNAcentral lists this long non-coding RNA (1095 nucleotides) under Homo sapiens (human). RNAcentral's name for it is "HSALNT0343279". The record is from RNAcentral. Lineage: Eukaryota; Metazoa; Chordata; Mammalia; Primates; Hominidae.
GGACAGGGCAGCGGCACGCAGCGGCGGGCCAGGCACUGCACGUUGCCGCUCUACGGACCGACAGACGCACCACGGACUCACCCUGAAUUUUUUCUUGUGCAAGAUCCAAGAACCCUUUCUUGGGGUCUGGAUCAGGACUCCUUUCCUGUAACAUCUUUCUGGCGACCACUGAAGGGAUGAUAGUGCGGAAACCCCCGACCCAAAGGCUAAUUUUUGGUCACAAUUGGAGAAACUGGCUAUUUUACCAAGGCUUCGACUGGAAUGGCAUACCUUAAGGAAUCAUGUAAGGAAUCAUGAUUCCUUAAGGAAUCAAAUUUGACUUGUAGAGCCAAUAAAUGCCCCUUGGAGAAACCGGCCUCAUACCUUGCCUACACAGUCUCUGUACAGGGUUUCUGACCUGUGGUAAGUAAAGAAUGUCACUUUCUAACAGGCCCAGGAGCCCCAAGUUAUCUUGGAACCUCAAAAGGAGAGGAAUUUACUCAACUCAUAGGUAUUUUAGGGCACAAACCCAUGGCAAGGCUUGGCUCAAAAAAAAAUCUUAUCUGAGAUUCUUUAUGAAACAGAGUUCCAUCAAAGCCAAUUUCAAAGAGCUUAUAUAAAAAAUAAUCAUUCUUGCGGCACUUUAUACAAAUAAUCAGGCCAAAUAUAAUAAAGCAAGUCAGUGUUACCAUGAUUAGUCUUUAGUAAAAAUGGGAAACUAGAGACAGAAAUAUUAUAUUUCAAGAACUAUGGUAUACUUGUUAUUAAAUUCUAGUCUCAGCAGUUGUUUUUAAGUUUUUGCAAUUUAGACUGAUUGCUUGCUCCUGUGACCCAACCAGAGCUCUCUGGCUGCUGCUCAAAAGAAACAAAAAGGACAGGUUAUGUAAAAAUCUGGAGUCAAUAUUCUAAUUCUGGGCAUGUACUGGAAUCAUCUAGCAACCCCAUAUCAGCUUGGUUCCAACAGUUGCCCAGUUCAUGGAAAGCCUUCUGAUUUAAUUUACUUGAGAUAAUUUUACUGAUUUUGCUUUACUCUUGUGGAAUAUAUUUCUGUUGUACUCUUUGGGUAGGAAUAAGGAUAAGCUUACUCAACGUUUUCUUAAAUUAAACUUUUAUUAA